CAAUAGCGUAUAUUAAAGUUGUUGCAGUUAAAAAGCUCGUAGUUGAAUUUUUGCUUGCCGCCGAUGUCGGAACUUCCGUACGUUCGGCGGCGUGCAUCCUUGGGUGGAACCUGUGUGGCAUUAGGUUGUCGUGCAGGGGAUGCUCAUCGUUUACUGUGAAAAAAUUAGAGCGUUCAAAGCAGGCUUACGCCGUUGAAUAUAUUAGCAUGGAAUAAUAAGAUAGGACCUUGGUACUAUUUUGUUGGUUUGCGCACCGAGGUAAUGAUUAACAGGGACAGUUGGGGGUAUUCGUAUUCCAUUGUCAGAGGUGAAAUUCUUGGAUUUCUGGAAGACGAACUACUGAGAAAGCAUUUACCAAGGAUGUUUUCAUUAA
This 373-nucleotide ribosomal RNA is filed under the name uncultured eukaryote. RNAcentral describes it as "partial 18S ribosomal RNA". It matches the Rfam family "Eukaryotic small subunit ribosomal RNA", at positions 592 to 976 of the family's 1831-position model. The record is from RNAcentral.